GCCGGGCAUGGUGGUGCGUGCCUGUAAUCCCAGUUACUUGGGAGGCUGAGGCAGGAGAAUCACUUGAACCUGGGAGGUGGAGGUUGCAGUGAGCCAAGAUCACGCCACUGCACUCCAGCCUGGGCAACAGAGUGAGACCCCGUUUCAG
Gorilla gorilla gorilla (western lowland gorilla) is the source of this 148-nucleotide non-coding RNA. It matches the Rfam family "Metazoan signal recognition particle RNA". Rfam says of the family: The signal recognition particle (SRP) is a universally conserved ribonucleoprotein. NCBI's taxonomy places the organism in Eukaryota, Metazoa, Chordata, Mammalia, Primates, Hominidae. The record is from Rfam.